GCAUGCAUCAUUACAAAAAAACCAAAUAUUAUAAGCAACAAUCAAACAAAAGCACUAAGUAGAAGGUCCUUCAUUGCGUGAUCCUCGGCUUAAUCCUGGAGUUGACAAAAAUGUGAUUGUUUGCAUCUCCGCCGACAGCAGUCAACAAUUGUCCUCCAAAAUAACCCUUUAAAAAACAACCAUCCAAUCCAAUCAUAGGUCUGCAACCUUCCUUGAACCCUCUUUUACUAGCAUCAAAACAUAUAUACAAUCGGUGAAAUAUUGGCGGCCCUUCUUGUUGUGGUAUAGUGCUCAUUUUCACCGUCGAACCUGGAUUCUGGGAUAAUAACUCANNNNNNNNNNGGAUAAUAACUCAUGGCAAUAGUCCCAUAGCUUAGCAUACUGAUCAAUUUCAGAUCCCUCGACAUUUUGUUUUGCUUGUUUAAGUGAUCUAUAAAUCAUACUAUCCUCCGAAUGUAGAUUAUAAUCCUCUUUCAUCAAGUAAUAAGCCUCACUAUGGCUAAGAGACGGUUGUUGUCUCAAUCUCAAUUCCAACUUCUCAAUAACCCACUUUCUAUCAGCCUGACUAUUCGUGAAUGUUCCUGGGCAUGAGUGAGUUGUAUUUUCAAAAGUCUUGAUUUGAAAGCUAUUUG
Molecule: long non-coding RNA, 632 nt
Filed under: Trifolium pratense (red clover)
Lineage: Eukaryota; Viridiplantae; Streptophyta; Magnoliopsida; Fabales; Fabaceae
Description: long non-coding RNA (TPRA_LNC007888)
Source: RNAcentral